Molecule: long non-coding RNA, 440 nt
Organism: Quercus lobata
Lineage: Eukaryota; Viridiplantae; Streptophyta; Magnoliopsida; Fagales; Fagaceae
Exons: 3
Source: RefSeq, a predicted model, not a curated record
UCCUUACCUCUCCAUUUCCUACGGGUAAACUCCCAAGUCUGAAAUUUCAGCUCAUUUUGCUCUCUUUUUCUCUCAAGGAAAGUGCUAGGAAGCUCCCUUGAGUCUUCCUCUCAAGUCCACCGGUUCACACACCAAAAGAAAGACAAAACCCCACCCAAAAGUCUUCCCAUUAUCUCAUUUUCUUGGCUGCACCAGACAGAAAGUCCAGCAGCAAGAAGGAAGCUUCUUUUAACUCUCACAAGCUCUCUUCCUCUCAUACUUUCUGGUCCAGCCACGUGGCUUUCAUGUACUAGGAAAGGAAAAUCCUUUCAUGUGUUACCAGUAUCCAAGUCUAAGCUCCUUCAACUUUAGGCUCUCGGUUCCUCUGCUUUCAGGUAAGGGAUAAGUUAUAUGGGCAUUUGUUAGCAGGUUUUAUUUUGGAGCAGAGGAAGCCUUAGUCG